GAACGCUAGCGACAGGCCUAACACAUGCAAGUCGAGGGGCAACAUGGUAUCAGCUUGCUGAUACUGAUGGCGACCGGCGCACGGGUGAGUAACACGUAUCCAACCUGCCGUCUACUCUUGGACAGCCUUCUGAAAGGAAGAUUAAUACAAGAUGGCAUCAUGAGUCCGCAUGUUCACAUGAUUAAAGGUAUUCCGGUAGACGAUGGGGAUGCGUUCCAUUAGAUAGUAGGCGGGGUAACGGCCCACCUAGUCUUCGAUGGAUAGGGGUUCUGAGAGGAAGAUCCCCCACAUUGGAACUGAGACACGGUCCAAACUCCUACGGGAGGCAGCAGUGAGGAAUAUUGGUCAAUGGGCGAGAGCCUGAACCAGCCAAGUAGCGUGAAGGAUGACUGCCCUAUGGGUUGUAAACUUCUUUUAUAAAGGAAUAAAGUCGGGUAUGCAUACCCGUUUGCAUGUACUUUAUGAAUAAGGAUCGGCUAACUCCGUGCCAGCAGCCGCGGUAAUACGGAGGAUCCGAGCGUUAUCCGGAUUUAUUGGGUUUAAAGGGAGCGUAGAUGGAUGUUUAAGUCAGUUGUGAAAGUUUGCGGCUCAACCGUAAAAUUGCAGUUGAUACUGGAUAUCUUGAGUGCAGUUGAGGCAGGCGGAAUUCGUGGUGUAGCGGUGAAAUGCUUAGAUAUCACGAAGAACUCCGAUUGCGGAGGCAGCCUGCUAAGCUGCAACUGACAUUGAGGCUCGAAAGUGUGGGUAUCAAACAGGAUUAGAUACCCUGGUAGUCCACACGGUAAACGAUGAAUACUCGCUGUUUGCGAUAUACGGCAAGCGGCCAAGCAAAAGCGUUAAGUAUUCCACCUGGGGAGUACGCCGGCAACGGUGAAACUCAAAGGAAUUGACGGGGGCCCGCACAAGCGGAGGAACAUGUGGUUUAAUUCGAUGAUACGCGAGGAACCUUACCCGGGCUUAAAUUGCAGAUGAAUUACGGUGAAAGCCGUAAGCCGCAAGGCAUCUGUGAAGGUGCUGCAUGGUUGUCGUCAGCUCGUGCCGUGAGGUGUCGGCUUAAGUGCCAUAACGAGCGCAACCCUUGUUGUCAGUUACUAACAGGUUCCGCUGAGGACUCUGACAAGACUGCCAUCGUAAGAUGUGAGGAAGGUGGGGAUGACGUCAAAUCAGCACGGCCCUUACGUCCGGGGCUACACACGUGUCACAAUGGGGGGUACAGAGGGCCGCUACCACGCGAGUGGAUGCCAAUCCCCAAAACCUCUCUCAGUUCGGACUGGAGUCUGCAACCCGACUCCACGAAGCUGGAUUCGCUAGUAAUCGCGCAUCAGCCACGGCGCGGUGAAUACGUUCCCGGGCCUUGUACACACCGCCCGUCAAGCCAUGGGAGCCGGGGGUACCUGAAGUGCGUAACCGCGAGGAGCGCCCUAGGGUAAAACUGGUGACUGGGGCUAAG
RNAcentral lists this ribosomal RNA (1450 nucleotides) under uncultured organism. Its description in RNAcentral is "SSU rRNA". It matches the Rfam family "Bacterial small subunit ribosomal RNA". The record is from RNAcentral.